Molecule: long non-coding RNA, 687 nt
Organism: Helianthus annuus (common sunflower)
Lineage: Eukaryota; Viridiplantae; Streptophyta; Magnoliopsida; Asterales; Asteraceae
Exons: 3
Source: RefSeq, a predicted model, not a curated record
AGAAAACAAAAUCAUUUUCGAAGGACCAAAUUGUAAUUACUCUCCAAAAUUUUUAAUAGCAAUCAGGCCCCUCCUUCUAAAAGCCCAAACCAAACACAUGUACAGUUUCUCAAACCCCUCUUCUUCAGACACGGAAUCACGAGACGCAAACGCAACUCAAAGUGGUAAAAGGGCCAAAUGGCAUUGUGCUUUCCCUCGACGCCCCAAAAGUUGUUGAUGACUGUGGGAUUGUUCCUGGGUGGUUCAUCCUUAUUUGGUGUUGGUUUGUAUUUUUCUUAUGUACAUGUUGCUCCUCAACAAGCGCGGAUACAAGCACGAAAUGAUUAUGUAAGAGAUAGGUUGAAAAAGAAAUAUGGGUAUGACAUGUAUAAUACCCAGCCCAAAAAAGAUUAAGUUUACUUGAUGAUGAUGCUGAUGCAGUUUGAUCAAUUCAACAAUGCAGCGCCUUUUUUGGUAGAUUCUACAGUCGCAUGGAUGCUUCACCGCAAUAAGAAAGAUAUAUAUUUUUUUCAUUAUUAAAGAUUAAAUCAUUCAUGUAAAAGAUAUAAGAGAAAGACUUGGAUAGUGAUACAGAACCCUUAUUUUCUGUACAUGUUGGAUUUUAGAUUAUUGAUCACUGUGCAGGUAAAUACAUGUAGCUUUCUUAAGAUUUCUGAUGUAAAUGCACAGGAGUGAUUAUUGAUUUGA